Molecule: long non-coding RNA, 252 nt
Organism: Xenia sp. Carnegie-2017
Lineage: Eukaryota; Metazoa; Cnidaria; Anthozoa; Malacalcyonacea; Xeniidae
Exons: 2
Source: RefSeq, a predicted model, not a curated record
UUAUUCAAGAUCAUACUAUUCAAUGGUAAUUUAUAAUUUACAUUUGCGAGAUGGCAACGAAGGUCACAUCUCAAGCGCAUGUGUAGUGUAUCUCAACCACUUACGAAACAGAGAGCCUUUGUGGAGAUGCAAUAUCCAAACAUGCAAUCGAAGAAGGAUGGCUUCGCCAUAAGCGUCGUUUUAUACCUUCAAAAAAUGUGAUCACUGUGAUGAUUAUCUUGUAAAACCCUCGUGUGGGCAUGUAUCGUCUCA